RNAcentral lists this ribosomal RNA (253 nucleotides) under uncultured bacterium. Its description in RNAcentral is "partial 16S ribosomal RNA". It matches the Rfam family "Bacterial small subunit ribosomal RNA", at positions 524 to 776 of the family's 1533-position model. The record is from RNAcentral.
GACGAACCGUGCGAACGUUGUUCGGAAUCACUGGGCUUAAAGGGCGCGUAGGCGGGCGAUCAAGUCAGGGGUGAAAUCCUGCGGCUUAACCGUAGAAGAGCCUUUGAUACUGGCUGUCUAGAGGGAGAUAGGGGCAUGUGGAACUUCCGGUGGAGCGGUGAAAUGCGUAGAUAUCGGAAGGAACGCCGGUGGCGAAAGCGACGUGCUGGAUCUCUUCUGACGCUGAGGCGCGAAAGCUAGGGGAGCAAACGGG